RNAcentral lists this ribosomal RNA (603 nucleotides) under Amanita sp. G3203. Its description in RNAcentral is "eukaryotic LSU rRNA". It matches the Rfam family "Eukaryotic large subunit ribosomal RNA", at positions 151 to 730 of the family's 3401-position model. Lineage: Eukaryota; Fungi; Basidiomycota; Agaricomycetes; Agaricales; Amanitaceae. The record is from RNAcentral.
AGAAGUGCUUACCUGCGCUGGACCAUGUAUAAGUCUCCUGGAAUGGAGCGUCACAGAGGGUGAGAAUCCMGUCCUUGACAUGSGCUGCCAGUGUGUUGUGGUGCGCUCUCRMAGAGUCGAGUUGUUUGGRAAUGCAGCUCUAAAUGGGUGGUAAACUCCAUCUAAAGCUAAMUAUUGGCGAGAGACCGAUAGCGAACAAGUACCGUGAGGGAAAGAUGAAAAGGACUUUGGAAAGAGAGUUAAACAGUAUGUGAAAUUGUUGAAAGGGAAACGCUUGAAGUCAGUUAUGUUGGUUAGGGAUCAACCUAGCUAUUUUUUGCUGGGUGAAUUUCCUAGUCUGACAGGCCAACAUCAGUUCUGACUGCUGGAAAAGAGCAGAGGGAAUGUGGCACCUUUGGGUGUGUUAUAGCCUUUUGUCAUAUGUGGCAGUUGGGACUGAGGGAUGCAGCAUGCCGUGAGGCUGGGUUUCGACCAUGUUCAUGCUUAGGAUGUUGGCUUUUAAUGGSUUCAAUCGACCCGUCUUGAAACACGGACCAAGGAGUCUAACAUGCCUGCCGAGUGUUUUGGGUGGUGAAAACCCUUUGUGCACAAUUGAAAGUGAAA